GGAAGUAACUGGGUAGCCGCAAGGGUAAAAGCCCUUGAGGAAAGUCCGAGCUCCACAGAGCGGGACGCUGGGUAACACCCAGUGGGGGCGACCCCAAGGAAAGUGCCACAGAAAACAAACCGCCCUGCUAAUAAGCGGGGUAAGGGUGAAAAGGUGGGGUAAGAGCCCACCAGCUAUCAGGGCGACCUGAUAGGCUUGGCAAACCCCGUCCGGAGCAAGGCCAAAUAGGAGGGAUAUAGGGUUGCUCGCCCUUCCCUCGGGUAGGCCGCUUGAGGAACGGAGCGAUCCGUUCCCUAGAGAGAUGGCUACUAGAACAGAACUCGGCUUACGGGUUGCUUCCGCCU
RNAcentral lists this RNase P RNA (344 nucleotides) under Synergistota bacterium. Its description in RNAcentral is "Synergistetes bacterium (oil production facility metagenome) RNase P RNA component class A". It matches the Rfam family "Bacterial RNase P class A". From Rfam's summary of the family: Ribonuclease P (RNase P) is a ubiquitous endoribonuclease, found in archaea, bacteria and eukarya as well as chloroplasts and mitochondria. The record is from RNAcentral. Lineage: Bacteria; Thermotogati; Synergistota.